UCAAAUCCAGCCCACAGCAAAGAACCUAGCACAUUUUAAGUGCCCUGCUGAGAACCAUUACAGCUUAUAGCCCUGAGGGUGCAGGCCGUCGCGUCAGCAGCAGACACAAUUCAGACCUCAAUUAUCUUCAGAUCCAUCUUUGUCGCUGACAAUUUUAUGUGCACAUCGGUAAUUGUGAAGAAAUUAAUGCAAUGGAGAGCUUGGGGAAAGGACGGGCAGUGCAGAUCAUUUUGAAUUCACCUGCACCUGCAAUAAUUCUCAUUCUACGGAGAAAGUACAGUGGUUAUUUGUGGUAGCAAUGUUGCUAAUUGGAGUCCAGUAAAGGAUAAACGAGUGGAUAAAACCCAAGUAAGUACUACUUCUGUUUGAAUCAUGGUGAUAAAAAUACUGUUUAUGCAGUUUUUUCCAUUAAUGUGUGAAUCCAUUUAACAUCUUAAGCUUGAAACAUCAUUUUCCAUUACAGCAAUUAUAGGUUAUGAAAAAUGUACAUUUUAGUGUCCCAUAACAUUCACUCAAUGAUAUUAUCUGCACAUCCACAUGGAAUAUUUGGACAAAAGGUUCAGAAGGAAGUCAUCUGAAUUUCUUGAAGCUCACGAGAAGAAAAAACUUAAAGUAUG
Long non-coding RNA from Ictalurus punctatus (channel catfish), 617 nucleotides. The record is from Ensembl. Lineage: Eukaryota; Metazoa; Chordata; Actinopteri; Siluriformes; Ictaluridae.